GACGAACGCUGGCGGCGUGCUUAACACAUGCAAGUCGAACGGUGAAGCUCCAGCUUGCUGGUGUGGAUCAGUGGCGAACGGGUGAGUAACACGUGAGCAACCUGCCCCUGACUCUGGAAUAAGCGCUGGAAACGGCGUCUAAUACUGGAUACGAGAAGGGUCCGCAUGGGCACUUUCUGGAAAGUUUUUCGGUUGGGGAUGGGCUCGCGGCCUAUCAGCUUGUUGGUGAGGUAAUGGCUCACCAAGGCGACGACGGGUAGCCGGCCUGAGAGGGCGACCGGCCACACUGGGACUGAGACACGGCCCAGACUCCUACAGGAGGCAGCAGUGGGGAAUAUUGCACAAUGGUCGAAAGCCUGAUGCAGCGACGCCGCGUGAGGGAUGACGUCCUUCGGGUUGUAAACCUCUUUCAGCAGAUAAGAAGCGAAAGUGACGGUACCUGCAGAAGAAGCACCGGCUAACUACGUG
RNAcentral lists this ribosomal RNA (468 nucleotides) under uncultured bacterium. Its description in RNAcentral is "partial 16S ribosomal RNA". It matches the Rfam family "Bacterial small subunit ribosomal RNA", at positions 28 to 507 of the family's 1533-position model. The record is from RNAcentral.